Molecule: transfer RNA, 61 nt
Filed under: Goniodes dissimilis (brown chicken louse)
Lineage: Eukaryota; Metazoa; Arthropoda; Insecta; Psocodea; Philopteridae
Description: tRNA-Cys
Source: RNAcentral
GUAGGGAAAGUUUAAAUUGAACAUAAAGAUGCAAACUUUAAGGUGGGAAAUCCGCCCUACU